Seriola aureovittata is the source of this 3185-nucleotide long non-coding RNA. RefSeq lists it as uncharacterized. NCBI's taxonomy places the organism in Eukaryota, Metazoa, Chordata, Actinopteri, Carangiformes, Carangidae. The transcript has 7 exons. The record is from RefSeq and is a predicted model, not a curated record.
UAAUGGGGGGGCGGGGGGCUAGCUUCCAUGCAAACUGGUAAAACGGAUCUGUCAGAUCUCAUCUCCGGGUUGGUGCUCCUAUAAAAUUGUCGGAGCCUCAGAUCCGUUAACAUGUGUUUUUAAAAACUAAUUUCGGGGCUGCAUUUACUCUUUCUUUCACGAGCGCUGUGUAGCCUCGGUGUUUUACAGCAGGUCUGGGCUGGACAGGUGACAGGUGUGUUUACAGUGUCUGUGCUCUGAAAGACAUUACAGCAGGAAAGGGGUGAAAAGUAGCGGGUCCCUCUUUUGAAAUUGAUUGGAGCUUUCUGCAUAACUUGCACCUGACUGAGUUAAUAAUGGGAUACCAGAAUCCAACUAAGUCCACACCUUACCCCACAACCAGCAAUAAAUGUUCUCUCUUGAGGAGGGUGGGAAGGUGACAGCUAGAGGUCAGCCUUCAGCUCUUAUUUUCUUCUGCAGCGAACGGGAGACGCCUGAAAUGCAGCACACAAAACACUGACAGUGUUUAAGUCCCAGCUGGAGCGGAGCCAUCGUUAAUGUCAUCAUCCACACCUGUGUGUUUCUGGCACAUCGUACGCAGACGUGUUACUCCAGUCAAGACAAGGCUGAAGAGGCUCCGUCUCUCCCUGUACGGCUGACGAGUUAAAGAAAGCAUUUCCUGUUUCGGUGGAAGCUCCGACCUGAGCCAGCAGACGCUGCGAACAGCGAGACUGUGGAGGUCAAAAGUUGAACGAAGACGAACGCGCAUUCCCGAAUUUCAUGGCCCAGUGAGGGAGGUGUGUGAGCGCCAGGUCAACUGUGAACAUCAGGUAUUAAUAAUGCAGGACAGGAAGCAGCCCCUCCGACUGCCGAGCUGUGCACUCUGACUCUGCAUCCCCGCACCCCACCCCACCACUACAAGCUGCAUAACCCGACACAGAGGAGGAGGAGAGCUACAGAGGUGUGUGCAGGGGGAGGAAAACCUGCCGGAACGGCAUCCGGCGAUGUGGUGAAACAGGCUCUAACGAUGAAAAAGUGUUGGGCAAGAGCACAGUGUAUUGGGUGUGUUGUGUCUGGAGCCCUGAGCUUGGAGAUGCUCCACUAUGACGCUCCUCUGAGCCUUUGUGGCUGCUCCUCUCUCGCAGAGAAGAGCAGGAAGGGGAGAGGAAAUAAGGAGAGAUGAGAUCAGAGGAAGCAAGGAGAUGAAAGGAGAGGACAGGAGGCAAAGAUGGUACAUGAAACAAGACAAUGAAAGGAGAGAAGAGAGGAGACGAGGAGAGGGAAAUGAGUGAAAACAAGGAGAGGAGAUCAGAGAAAAGAAAUACAAAGAGGAGAAGAGAGGAGAACAUGAAGGACGGGGUGGAGACGAAGUUGUUAGUUUGACUUCACAUCAUCUAUGAAUAUUACAUGAGUCGCAUUAUAACAGCGACGCGGCUCCUGCGAGCCUCGGCCUUGAGUGUGUGACCCACAAAUUGACCGUCAACUUGUUGCUCCAUGCAGCACAAAUUACCCAUCAGAGUUAUUUAUUGAGGCACAUCCAGGUGAAGGCCGCUGUCACAACCCACCAAGGCCGAGGCGCGUCCUCUUCGUGGCGAGGCCGAGGCGGCGUGAAGACUCCGGUCCGCAGUCACAGGUGAAUCCAGUGUCGUCCAGGGCGUUUUGUCAGCGCUCUCACCUCAGACUGUGUGUUUUACUGGAUGUGUGGGAUGGGAUCGCUCACCCAGUCAGAUUUGUAUGAACAAAAAACUAUCAAAAGACACGUCUCUGUUUAUGGGAAAUAAAAGAUGAAGAGUCGACGUCUUUUCACCCCAGAAGAAGUUUCCCUGUGGUUGUAUAAGUUGAUGGUGGAUGCUGUUUGUAAGGUGUGAACACUACUGAGGCUGUAAUCCAUCUUUUACUUUCAGUUCUGUGAUGCUGCUGUGAUUAAAGGAACACCACCGCCGCAACCACUACAUUAUUCAAUUAAUUCAAUAGCAAAACACAUUCAAUUUUAUUCAUGUAAACGGCAAUAAAUCAACUUGUCAGAUAAUUUUCUUGAGGCUAUUUUUGCAAAAGUAACUCCAAACAAUUGCAGCUGCUUCUUUGGAGCACGGAGAACAUGAACAGGUCUCCGUCUGCAAGGAGAAGCUAAAGGAGCAUUUCUAAUUAUAAAGUUAAUCAAUGCAACAUGGACCCACGUAAACAGCAUAAAAUGGAAGUUAAAAUGAUUCAUUUGAUUUUAAUAGUUGAAGUUUAAGGAUUUGAUACUCAUCCUUUAAAUGACAAGUUUAGUUUGUAAGUGUGAAACAUCUCCUGACAGCCUCCGAUCAGAUGCAAAAACGUUUCAUAACUAACGUUACUGCUUGAACAAGGCAAGAGCGAACGUAUGAUACUUUUAUAAGACUCUGCCAUUUUUCUGGGAUUGAAUUAAAUACUUUUAAAGUCAUUUGAAGACCUGCAGAUCGUAGGUGUGCCUCACCUUUCUAAUCUACUGUAAAAAUGAAUUCAGAUAACACACACAGUCACACACACUAGCGUCAAACAAACUGGAGACAUCAUCAGGAAGUGACUGUUAACCGCAGUUUCCGAAGUCGGCUCCAUCUAGGUCCAUUUCCUGAUAAUCUGUUCAGCCCCAUCUCAGGUUUUAAUUUGACAGUAGUAGGUCAUGUAUAACUUUUCAGAGCCAUGACGUCCUCUAAUCCUUGCUUGUGUGCAAGUGUCUAUAUGUGCGUGCGGGACGUUCACUCACCACGUAAGUGUUUCAUUCAGUCUGAGCCCAAAGAGGAUUUAGAAAACAGCAUGUGCAUCCCCCCUUGUCAAUUAGCUAACAUGUUGAUGUCAGCAUGGUCAGUAUAAUCCCUCUCUUAAUGUACUGUAAUAACCCCCUCCCUCCUCGGCUCUCCUUCAGUGAGAUGCUCACACACACAGCAGCUCCUGAGGGAAGCAGCCACACAACAACAUGACAGGAUGCUGCAUUAGCUCAGCCGUCAUAACAGCAUUACCAGGGGCUGAAUGAAACUCUCCAGGGCUUUGGAAGAGACAACUUUCUGACCCGGCGAACGGCUCUGAUAAACAAGUAUUGGAUUCAGUGUUAAUUGAGAUGCCUUUCAUAUUCAUACAAAACUUCCUCUCGUCGUUGUCUUUUAAUUUGAUUUAAAUUUCAUCUAACAGAAUCAGAUCUAUAAUGACUGUUUGCUGGAGAGAAAUAGUCAAAAUAGUAAAAGCAG